RNAcentral lists this ribosomal RNA (497 nucleotides) under uncultured bacterium. Its description in RNAcentral is "partial 16S ribosomal RNA". It matches the Rfam family "Bacterial small subunit ribosomal RNA", at positions 28 to 507 of the family's 1533-position model. The record is from RNAcentral.
GAUGAACGCUGGCGGCGUGCCUAAUACAUGCAAGUCGAGCGAACGGACGAGAAGCUUGCUUCUCUGGUGUUAGCGGCGGACGGGUGAGUAACACGUGGAUAACCUACCUAUAAGACUGGGAUAACUUCGGGAAACCGGAGCUAAUACCGGAUAAUAUUUUGAACCGCAUGGUUCAAAAGUGAAAGACGGUCUUGCUGUCACUUAUAGAUGGAUCCGCGCUGCAUUAGCUAGUUGGUAAGGUAACGGCUUACCAAGGCAACGAUGCAUAGCCGACCUGAGAGGGUGAUCGGCCACACUGGAACUGAGACACGGUCCAGACUCCUACGGGAGGCAGCAGUAGGGAAUCUUCCGCAAUGGGCGAAAGCCUGACGGAGCAACGCCGAGUGAGUGAUGAAGGUCUUCGGAUCGUAAAACUCUGUUAUUAGGGAAGAACAUAUGUGUAAGUAACUGUGCACAUCUUGACGGUACCUAAUCAGAAAGCCACGGCUAACUACGUG